GAACUGGAUGUUCCUUCCCAACAUUCGGAAGAUACACCAAGGUGGCCCAAUUAUCUCCUCAACGAGGGGAAGGCUGUCACCACAAUAAAAUCCUAUCUGGUCAACACAUCCGAGUUCCUCGCAUACUUCAGGGACACACCGCCCUCAGCAUCCAGGGUCCCGAAAGCCUGAUUAGUGGCAGUGGUAAGGGCUAUUUCUUCCUCCAUCUCCAAGCUUGGCAGACGUGUAGUGAUCCGCCAGAUUAGGAUCAAGAAGCGCAAAAUGAGCUCCGCUAUCUCCAGGCGGGACCUCCACAGUUGCCAGGUCACGGCAAGGCAGAGAAUCCCCGAAAUUCUUGAUCAGCUGUCCGCGGACCCCAGUCCCGAAAACCGCAAGAGGUUCCACGGGUACGUGAGCGUCUACCUGGCCAGUUUGUAUGGGCACAGGACAGGUGUCCUGGAGAACAUGACUGUGUCAGA
Molecule: long non-coding RNA, 458 nt
Organism: Fundulus heteroclitus (mummichog)
Lineage: Eukaryota; Metazoa; Chordata; Actinopteri; Cyprinodontiformes; Fundulidae
Exons: 3
Source: RefSeq, a predicted model, not a curated record